GACGAACGCUGGCGGCGUGCUUAACACAUGCAAGUCGAACGGAAAGGCCCUGCUUUUGUGGGGUGCUCGAGUGGCGAACGGGUGAGUAACACGUGAGUAACCUGCCCUUGACUUUGGGAUAACUUCAGGAAACUGGGGCUAAUACCGGAUAGGAGCUCCUGCUGCAUGGUGGGGGUUGGAAAGUUUCGGCGGUUGGGGAUGGACUCGCGGCUUAUCAGCUUGUUGGUGGGGUAGUGGCUUACCAAGGCUUUGACGGGUAGCCGGCCUGAGAGGGUGACCGGCCACAUUGGGACUGAGAUACGGCCCAGACUCCUACGGGAGGCAGCAGUGGGGAAUAUUGCACAAUGGGCGGAAGCCUGAUGCAGCAACGCCGCGUGCGGGAUGACGGCCUUCGGGUUGUAAACCGCUUUCGCCUGUGACGAAGCGUGAGUGACGGUAAUGGGUAAAGAAGCACCGGCUAGCUACGUGCCAGCAGCCGCGGUGAUACGUAGGGUGCGAGCGUUGUCCGGAUUUAUUGGGCGUAAAGGGCUCGUAGGUGGUUGAUCGCGUCGGAAGUGUAAUCUUGGGGCUUAACCCUGAGCGUGCUUUCGAUACGGGUUGACUUGAGGAAGGUAGGGGAGAAUGGAAUUCCUGGUGGAGCGGUGGAAUGCGCAGAUAUCAGGAGGAACACCAGUGGCGAAGGCGGUUCUCUGGGCCUUUCCUGACGCUGAGGAGCGAAAGCGUGGGGAGCGAACAGGCUUAAAUACCCUGGUAGUCCACGCUGUAAACGGUGGGUACUAGGUGUGGGGUCCAUUCCACGGGUUCCGUGCCGUAGCUAACGCUUUAAGUACCCCGCCUGGGGAGUACGGCCGCAAGGCUAAAACUCAAAGGAAUUGACGGGGCCCCGCACAAGCGGCGGAGCAUGCGGAUUAAUUCGAUGCAACGCGUAGAACCUUACCUGGGUUUGACAUGGAUCGGGAGCGCUCAGAGAUGGGUGUGCCUCUUUUGGGGUCGGUUCACAGGUGGUGCAUGGCUGUCGUCAGCUCGUGUCGUGAGAUGUUGGGUUAAGUCCCGCAACGAGCGCAACCCUUGUUCACUGUUGCCAGCACGUUAUGGUGGGGACUCAGUGGAGACCGCCGGGGUCAACUCGGAGGAAGGUGGGGAUGACGUCAAGUCAUCAUGCCCCUUAUGUCCAGGGCUUCACGCAUGCUACAAUGGCUGGUACAGAGAGUGGCGAGCCUGUGAGGGUGAGCGAAUCUCGGAAAGCCGGUCUCAGUUCGGAUCGGGGUCUGCAACUCGACCUCAUGAAGUCGGAGUCGCUAGUAAUCGCAGAUCAGCAACGCUGCGGUGAAUACGUUCCCGGGGCU
RNAcentral lists this ribosomal RNA (1346 nucleotides) under uncultured bacterium. RNAcentral's name for it is "bacterial SSU rRNA". It matches the Rfam family "Bacterial small subunit ribosomal RNA", at positions 28 to 1381 of the family's 1533-position model. The record is from RNAcentral.